RNAcentral lists this ribosomal RNA (253 nucleotides) under uncultured bacterium. RNAcentral describes it as "partial 16S ribosomal RNA". It matches the Rfam family "Bacterial small subunit ribosomal RNA", at positions 524 to 776 of the family's 1533-position model. The record is from RNAcentral.
UACAGAGGGUGCAAGCGUUGUUCGGAAUUAUUGGGCGUAAAGGGCGUGUAGGCGGUUUCCUAAGUCUUCUGUGAAAUCUACGGGCUUAGCCUGUAACGUGCAGAGGAAACUGGGAGACUUGAGUGUCGGAGAGGAUAGGGGAAUACCCGGUGUAGAGGUGAAAUUCGUAGAGAUCGGGUGGAACACCAGUGGCGAAGGCGCCUGUCUGGCUGACAACUGACGCUGAGACUCGAAAGCAUGGGGAGCAAACAGG